This 253-nucleotide ribosomal RNA is filed under the name uncultured bacterium. RNAcentral's name for it is "partial 16S ribosomal RNA". It matches the Rfam family "Bacterial small subunit ribosomal RNA", at positions 524 to 776 of the family's 1533-position model. The record is from RNAcentral.
UACGUAGGUGGCAAGCGUUACUCGGAAUCACUAGGCGUAAAGCGCAGGUAGGCGGUUUGAUAAGUCUGUUGUGAAAGCUCCCGGCUUAACUGGGAGAGGUCAACGGAAACUAUUAGGCUAGAGUGUGGUAGAGGUAGCUGGAAUUCCCGGUGUAGCGGUGAAAUGCGUAGAUAUCGGGAGGAAUACCUAUGGCGAAGGCGGUUCUCUGGGACGGUACUGACGCUGAGACGCGAAAGCGUGGGGAGCGAACAGG